Molecule: ribosomal RNA, 467 nt
Filed under: uncultured bacterium
Lineage: Bacteria
Description: partial 16S ribosomal RNA
Rfam family: Bacterial small subunit ribosomal RNA
Source: RNAcentral
GACGAACGCUGGCGGCGUGCUUAACACAUGCAAGUCGAACGGAAAGGCCCUGCUUUUGUGGGGUGCUCGAGUGGCGAACGGGUGAGUAACACGUGAGUAACCUGCCCUUGACUUUGGGAUAACUUCAGGAAACUGGGGCUAAUACCGGAUAGGAGCUCCUGCUGCAUGGUGGGGGUUGGAAAGUUUCGGCGGUUGGGGAUGGACUCGCGGCUUAUCAGCUUGUUGGUGGGGUAGUGGCUUACCAAGGCUUUGACGGGUAGCCGGCCUGAGAGGGUGACCGGCCACAUUGGGACUGAGAUACGGCCCAGACGCCUAAGGGAGGCAGCAGUGGGGAAUAGUGCAAAAUGGGCGGAAGCCGGAUGCAGCAACGCCGCGUGCGGGAUGACGGCCUUCGGGUUGUAAACCGCUUUCGCCUGUGACGAAGCGUGAGUGACGGUAAUGGGUAAAGAAGCACCGGCGAACUACGU